This 395-nucleotide ribosomal RNA is filed under the name uncultured bacterium. RNAcentral describes it as "bacterial SSU rRNA". It matches the Rfam family "Bacterial small subunit ribosomal RNA", at positions 29 to 416 of the family's 1533-position model. The record is from RNAcentral.
AAUGAACGCUGGCGGCGCGCCUAAUACAUGCAAGUCGAGCGAGAAGACGUAGCAAUACGUUUGUAAAGCGGCGAACGGGUGAGGAAUACAUGGGUAACCUACCCUAGAGUGGGGAAUAACUAGCCGAAAGGUUAGCUAAUACCGCGUACGCUCCUUGGACUUCGGUUCAGGGAGGAAAGCGAUGCCGAGGGUAUCGCGCUCUUGGAUGGGCUCAUGUCCUAUCAGCUUGNGGUGAGGUAACGGCUCACCAAGGCUUCGACGGGUAGCUGGUCUGAGAGGACGAUCAGCCACACUGGCACUGCGACACGGGCCAGACUCCUACGGGAGGCAGCAGUGGGGAAUUUUGGACAAUGGGGCAACCCUGAUCCAGCCAUUCCGCGUGAGUGAAGAAGGCC